CCAAUAGCGUAUAUUAAAGUUGUUGCAGUUAAAAAGCUCGUAGUUGAAUUUCGGGAUCAGUACGCUGGUCGUGCCUUCGGUAUGAACUGGUGUCACUGGUUCCUCCCUUCUGAAGAACCGUUAUGCCAUUCAGUUGGUGUGGCGGGGAAUCAGGACUGUUACUUUGAAAAAAUUAGAGUGUUUAAAGCAGGCUCGCGCUUGAAUACAUUAGCAUGGAAUAAUGAAAUAGGACGUUUGAUCCUAUUUUGUUGGUUUCUAGGAUCGACGUAAUGAUUAAUAGGGAUAGUUGGGGGCAUUAGUAUUCAAUUGUCAGAGGUGAAAUUCUUGGAUUUAUUGAAGACUAACUACUGCGAAAGCAUUUGCCAAGGAUGUUUUCAUUAAUCAAGAACGAAAGUUAGGGGAUCGAAGACGAUCAGAUACCGUCGUAGUCUUAACCAUAAACUAUGCCGACUAGGGAUCGGAUGAUGUUAAUUUUUUAAUGACUCAUUCGGCGCCUUACG
RNAcentral lists this ribosomal RNA (500 nucleotides) under uncultured Glomeromycotina. RNAcentral describes it as "partial small subunit ribosomal RNA". It matches the Rfam family "Eukaryotic small subunit ribosomal RNA", at positions 591 to 1092 of the family's 1831-position model. Lineage: Eukaryota; Fungi; Glomeromycota. The record is from RNAcentral.